CAUUGCUCUUGCAUACAAAACCAAGCUGUUAUGAGACUCGAUAGAGGUCACAAACGAUGCUUUUAAUGGUUUGUCCUUCGGAUUGAUCAUACACAAUCCGGAAAAGCCGCGAAUUGAUCAAACACAAGUAGGAAAAAGGCUUCGGAUUGAUCAAACACAAUCCGGUGAAAGGUCGGGGUUGAUCAAACACAACCCGGACAAAGAAACAAGAGUGAUCAAACACACUCUUGACCCGCGAAUAAAAUUCCGGGAUUUGGGUACCUACACGCACAAAAUCCCAAGCAUAGAAUGGAGAUGGAGAAAGGAGGAAAGGAUUUUAUCCUCCCCGAGUUAUUAAACUUGGAAAAGUUUAAGGUUUCAAAAAACAUACCUUUCUAGAGGCUGCCGAGAGGAGAAAUAACGUUUCAUCUACUUAUACUUCGAAUUUGGGGCUGAAAAUUUGAUAGGAGGAGCAACUCUGGAUGGGAAAGCUGCUAUCAAAAUUUCAGGUUGAUCGGAGCAAGGGAAGGUGGUGAACCGGUGGUCGGUAGCGACAGCGGUCUGGAAUCUUCCGGUGGCCGGUUCGGAGACUUUCCGGCCGGUUCUCAGGGUGAGACCGGCGGCGUUGGAUCCGGGGCGGAGAUAGCUUUCUGGGGAUAUAAAAUUCCGGCGGAGGGCAGUCGGAAUUUUGGUCGGAAAUCGGGAAAAACAAGGCUGCCCGAUUUUAGGGUUUUGGUUUUAGGGUUUAAGAAAAAAAAAUGGUGGGCUAUUGGCUCUAGGGUUAGAACAAAGUGCAUGAUAACGUGAUAAAUGAUAAAGUGUAGAGACAAAGAGAUAGCAAGAGAGUCAUCAUCUUAUUCAUUGAUAGGAGCCCUUUAUAUAGGGAAUUACACAAUACCAAUAUGGUAAGGAUAUGAAUACAUAGAUCUAGUCUAACUACAUAUCCUAUUGACAUAAGGCCAAGGCACACAGUAGAGAAUAUCCUAGAACAUUUUAAAAUUUAUUGCCUCUAAUAAAAUACUUUUCUAACAUUACAGCCCCUAGUAAAUUCAAUUUUAAG
Molecule: long non-coding RNA, 1039 nt
Filed under: Fragaria vesca (wild strawberry)
Lineage: Eukaryota; Viridiplantae; Streptophyta; Magnoliopsida; Rosales; Rosaceae
Description: long non-coding RNA (FVES_LNC004440)
Source: RNAcentral